GCCAAAGUGGCAUAGUGGUUUGAAUGUUGGACUAGGACUCUGGAGAUCAGGGUUUGAAUCCCUGCUCAGCCA
This is a non-coding RNA of Phrynosoma platyrhinos (Desert horned lizard), 72 nucleotides long. Lineage: Eukaryota; Metazoa; Chordata; Lepidosauria; Squamata; Phrynosomatidae. The record is from the annotation of a GenBank genome assembly.